UUCCUUAUCCAGGGACUUUCAAAGACUUAAAAGUGCGUCUUAGAAAGCAAUGAGGAGGAUGAACUGGAACAAAGAGAGACUGGAAGUAGGAAAGGUGAUUAGACAGCAAUCAAGAGUGACCACAUAAAAAAUUAUAAAGACUUGAGGUAAGGUAAUAACCAUAAGGACAGAUGGAAGAGGACGAUGGAAAAAAUAAUAGGUAACAAUGAACAAGGACUAAUGCUGCUUGG
Molecule: long non-coding RNA, 230 nt
Filed under: Homo sapiens (human)
Lineage: Eukaryota; Metazoa; Chordata; Mammalia; Primates; Hominidae
Description: HSALNT0127537
Source: RNAcentral